This 1327-nucleotide unclassified non-coding RNA is filed under the name Hevea brasiliensis (rubber tree). The record is from RNAcentral. Lineage: Eukaryota; Viridiplantae; Streptophyta; Magnoliopsida; Malpighiales; Euphorbiaceae.
ACUGGGUUUUCUGCACCAACAAUCUGCCAGAGCAUCUUAAUCAGAUAUAUUAGAAAUGGAUAUAAACAGUACUACAAACUACUACGAGUUAAUCAUAGAUAAUGCUAUUUUCGUAGUUACAUGUUGCUUCCAAUUCAUUUGUAUGGAUUAAAGCAAUAGCAAAUGAAACAAAGUUUUCCCAGUUCACCAAAUUGUCAGGAAUGCAGUCACACACAACAGUAUGGAGAACAAGAAAGAACAAAUUGACAAUUCUAUGCAAUAAUUAUAACCAGAACCCUGUUCUAAUAAUGACAACUCCAGGUCUCAAGAAAUAAAUUUGCCACUAAGAAGCUUCAACGUAGCGAAAUCAUCCAAACUUAUUGAAAUUGUCCAUAAAAGGUCUCCGCUAUACUAGCACUAAGCCUUUCUUAUGUUUUCUCAAUGCUCCUCCAAUGCCUAAAGCUACGUACCAUUACCAAAAGAUGAAAGAUUAAAUCAAAAUAAAUAGGUCUUUAGUCCCGCUGUAGGAUAAGACGAUUCAUGAUCACGGGAACAUUAGCAAGCCAUGUGAUGGAAUAAUUCUGUAAUCUGAGAUUUAAUUUGUUCCCAAAAAAUUUGAGGUAAGGAACUUAGAUAGUAAGCAUGUUUUGAUUUGGAAUUGUUCAACAAGAGCAAAGAGGGGUUAAACUAGAGCACAGCAAGAUUGACAUUAUGUUUUCUUCUAUUUUCCAAAUAGGCAAAUACACACACAAGAACCGAAAGUAAUCACCAAAAAAUACUGUACCUAAACCCUAGUGAUAUAACAACAGAUUAAUUACCAAAUGGUAAAGGCAAACAUGGGCCUCUCGGUUGCAACUGAGUGCUCCUCAUUCACGAUUUGCAUAGAGAGCACAUAUCAAGAAAAUCUGACAUAGGAUUUCAGUGGCUUAUGAAACUAUCAAGAAAAACUCGUACACAUUCGGAGCGUGCACAUGUAUCACACCAUAUACUGACAGAUAUGCAUGUUUGAGUAAAUUCUCAUCUUCCACUUAGUUGACAUUCCAUGGAUUAACCAUGCCGGUUCCUAAGAGAGACGAUAAUAUGCAAAAAUAGUACUUGUAGUCAUACAAGUCCUAAAUCCUCCAUAAUAUGGAAAUUAUUUUAGCCAAGACACCAGAAGAGUUAAAAACACCAAAAGCAUCUCAACUACCAUAUUCACUGCCAUAACAAUAAUGCCACUGAUAAUUCCUAUUACAUGCAUCAGCACCAUAAUUUCAUAAUAUUAUAGCUACUGGUCAAUAUCACAACUGCCCUCCCUUCUUUCUUUCUCAAAACGCAGUGCAAUAUUACACUGUACCACCACUAUCAC